Molecule: ribosomal RNA, 252 nt
Filed under: uncultured bacterium
Lineage: Bacteria
Description: partial 16S ribosomal RNA
Rfam family: Bacterial small subunit ribosomal RNA
Source: RNAcentral
UACGGAGGGUGCGAGCGUUGUCCGGAUUUAUUGGGUUUAAAGGGUGCGUAGGUGGCUUUUUAAGUCAGUGGUGAAAUACAGCCGCUCAACGGUUGAGGUGCCAUUGAUACUGAAGAGCUUGAAACAAGUGGAGGCUGCCGGAAUGGAUGGUGUAGCGGUGAAAUGCAUAGAUAUCAUCCAGAACACCGAUUGCGAAGGCAGGUGGCUACGUUUGAUUGACACUGAGGCACGAAAGCAUGGGGAGCAAACAGG